GGGGAAUAUUGCACAAUGGGGGAAACCCUGAUGCAGCGACGCCGCGUGAGUGAAGAAGUGAUUCGUCACGUAAAGCUCUAUCAGCAGGGAAGAAAAUGACGGUACCUGACUAAGAAGCCCCGGCUAACUAC
This 131-nucleotide ribosomal RNA is filed under the name uncultured bacterium. Its description in RNAcentral is "partial 16S ribosomal RNA". It matches the Rfam family "Bacterial small subunit ribosomal RNA", at positions 356 to 504 of the family's 1533-position model. The record is from RNAcentral.